This 116-nucleotide small nucleolar RNA is filed under the name Mus musculus (house mouse). RNAcentral describes it as "small nucleolar RNA SNORA70". The stretch from base 26 to 116 matches the Rfam family "Small nucleolar RNA SNORA70". From Rfam's summary of the family: snoRNA U70 seems to be exclusive to mammals and is a member of the H/ACA class of snoRNA which contain H (ANANNA) and ACA box motifs. H/ACA box snoRNAs are involved in the conversion of uridines to pseudouridines (5-ribosyluracil) a constituent of structural RNAs (transfer, ribosomal, small nuclear, and small nucleolar). Lineage: Eukaryota; Metazoa; Chordata; Mammalia; Rodentia; Muridae. The record is from RNAcentral.
CCUGUUAAACAUUUGGAGAAACUCUCAGCCUUAUGUGGCCACAAAUAGCAGCCUCCUUGGGGAUGUGCACAGCCUGUUCCCUACAUGGGUUACCCUAAGAGACCUGGGAGACAAUU